GACGUCCUAAACAAUUCUUAAUCGAUUUAACUGAUUGCAUUUACUGUGGAACUAAAUUAUAAAACUACAGAAGGAAGAAAUCAAGUAACUAACGAUUGAGGACUUGACUGAUUGAAUACCCCAAUUGGCUUGAGCUUUCAUAGUUUUCCUCCAAUGUGAUUCCACCGGUUGUGUAGAUUCAGCAACUUAGAUAGUGAAGAUGGUUUAUGUAAGUAGAUUAUCUGGAUGGAUGCAGGACAUUCCACAAUCUGUAAGAAUUAGAGUUCUUCCACUUUGUGUAGGAAGGAUGAUCUUCCAAACUGUCUUCUCCUAGAAGGGAGAUAGGGAAAUCUAUACAGACAGUGGAAUGAUGAUAAAAAGAGGGGAGUAAUGUGAGAGUAAUGGUCAAAGAUAUUUUAUAUAACUCUGUAAUCCAUGCAUGAAAAACUAUGGUCUAGUAUAGUUAAGUUUUUAUUGAUCUGAUUGAAUGUAUAAUGUGAUCUUAUCAUAUUCCCCUGCUGUAUAACAUCCAUUAUGACCUCGGGAACACACUUUAAGGGCCAUCUGUAUAUGUAACUAGACGUGUGUACAUGCACG
Long non-coding RNA from Bufo bufo (common toad), 576 nucleotides. RefSeq lists it as uncharacterized. The transcript has 3 exons. Lineage: Eukaryota; Metazoa; Chordata; Amphibia; Anura; Bufonidae. The record is from RefSeq and is a predicted model, not a curated record.